RNAcentral lists this ribosomal RNA (253 nucleotides) under uncultured bacterium. Its description in RNAcentral is "partial 16S ribosomal RNA". It matches the Rfam family "Bacterial small subunit ribosomal RNA", at positions 524 to 776 of the family's 1533-position model. The record is from RNAcentral.
UACGAAGGAUUCGAGCGUUAUCCGGAUUUAUUGGGCUUAAAGGGUGCGUAGGCGGGUUGCUAAGUGUUCUGUGAAAUCCCCCGGCUCAACCGGGGAAUCGCAGGGCAUACUGGCAGCCUUGAGGCAUGUAGGGGCGGACGGAACUGUAGGUGGAGCGGUGAAAUGCGUAGAUAUCUACAGGAACGCCGAUGGUGAAGACGGUCCGCUGGGCAUGUCCUGACGCUGAGGCACGAAAGCGUGGGGAGCAAACAGG